CAGUCGCCACGGUAAUACGUAGGUGGCAAGCGUUAUCCGGAAUUAUUGGGCGUAAAGCGCGCGUAGGCGGUUUCUUAAGUCUGAUGUGAAAGCCCACGGCUCAACCGUGGAGGGUCAUUGGAAACUGGGAAACUUGAGUGCAGAAGAGGAAAGUGGAAUUCCAUGUGUAGCGGUGAAAUGCGCAGAGAUAUGGAGGAACACCAGUGGCGAAGGCGACUUUCUGGUCUGUAACUGACGCUGAUGUGCGAAAGCGUGGGGAUCAAACAGGAUUAGAUACCCCUGUAGUCCCUGUCUCUUAUAU
Molecule: ribosomal RNA, 301 nt
Filed under: uncultured bacterium
Lineage: Bacteria
Description: partial 16S ribosomal RNA
Rfam family: Bacterial small subunit ribosomal RNA
Source: RNAcentral